GUGGGAAAGUGGAAUUGGGCUUUUCCAGUUUUGCUUUGCUGUGUGUGAGAGAUUUUAAAAUGACUUUGGGCUGUGUUUGGCAUGAAUGUCUUGUCUCUUGCAUGUGUUUCACUCCCAAUCCUGUGAUGGCUCACUGAUAGAAAGACAGUGUCUGAAACAGGAUGGCAGAAUAGGCUGAGGACAUGCCCACACUCUGGGUGGGGAAGAGGAGCCUUUCUUUCUGCCAGCUUCAGUAAUAACGCAGAAGCUGGUAGGAGCUCCCACAUCAGAGCAGUACCAACCUUUUUGUCCUUUAAACACGGCAUACUGAUUAUAUAUAGUUGUGUUGCCUGCUGGAAGGGAGAGAUGGCCUGUUGGAUACAUAUGUGCCAUUUUGGCCAGUAUUUUUUAAAAGUAGGAGCUAAGGUGAUCUAGCAAUUAUUUAAGUACUUAUUGAAAUAGACUUGGGUCUUCAAACUUCUUUAAAAUAUUAGUGAUAGUUUGAGUUAAGCAUUUUAAAGUUGUUUGGUGAUAAAGAGAGAAGCUUAGUGUCUGAGGUUGGAAAUGGUAUAGUCUUCCGCUUUUACGAAGCGCUGUUGUGAUGCUCACAGCACACGGCACUGAGGCAGGAGGUUUGAGUGGAUAUUUCUCACUGGAGCACAAUACUUAGGUGCUCUUCCAACUCACUGCUACUCUCUCUCACUCUUGUUUUGGAUUUUCUCUUUGCACGUUUGAAAUGUUUUAUGAGGAUGCAUCAGAACACUUUUUCUUCUGAGAACUAAGGCUUCCAGAGGACUGACUUUCUACCUGAGGGAGAAGGAAGCAGCUAGAUAUGUCUCUAGCAGGAGGCGUAUGUUUUGUUUUUUUACAAGGAAGGGUGAAGCCACCAACAUCCCCCGGGGAGCACUAGGAAGGACAUAAAUGUGUUCCUAUCACAGGGCCCUACUUGACCUUUGGUGCCGUGAGAAAGUGAAUAUAAAGCACCAGGCAGAGUGAAAUCCGCCAGGAGUGCCUAGAGAUUUUUCAGAAGCUGCCAACAAGCAUUCUGUUAUUUUUGGAAAGUUCAAAUAUACAGGGACAAGGAGGUUGCUGACUGUACAGAAAGGCUCUAGGCAGGUUUUCUCUUUAAAAAGAAAAAAGAAAAAAACUAUUAAAUUAUCAGGGACCGGUCUCAAGGAAAGGGAAAAAAUUUCCCUAGAGUUAAGUUUCCAAAAGUAUCAUUUUAAAAGGUUACACACACACACACACACACACACACACACACACACAUGAUCAUUAAAAAGAAAAGUGAAUAGCUCAAAGCAGAACUUUAUCAUAGUUGUUUAUUGAAUCAUUUUUUUUUUUUACCUCUCAGAGCUAGUAUAGAUUCUGAGGAACUCUUAUAUUUACCAAAACACAAAAUAAACAAUAACAACACCACCA
This 1401-nucleotide long non-coding RNA is filed under the name Sus scrofa (pig). RNAcentral's name for it is "lncRNA (ENSSSCG00070024300.1)". Lineage: Eukaryota; Metazoa; Chordata; Mammalia; Artiodactyla; Suidae. The record is from RNAcentral.